This 398-nucleotide ribosomal RNA is filed under the name uncultured bacterium. RNAcentral describes it as "partial 16S ribosomal RNA". It matches the Rfam family "Bacterial small subunit ribosomal RNA", at positions 523 to 918 of the family's 1533-position model. The record is from RNAcentral.
AUACGUAGGGUGCGAGCGUUGUCCGGAAUUACUGGGCGUAAAGAGCUCGUAGGUGGUUUGUCGCGUCGUCUGUGAAAUUCCGGGGCUUAACUCCGGGCGUGCAGGCGAUACGGGCAUAACUUGAGUACUGUAGGGGAGACUGGAAUUCCUGGUGUAGCGGUGAAAUGCGCAGAUAUCAGGAGGAACACCGGUGGCGAAGGCGGGUCUCUGGGCAGUACCUGACGCUGAGGAGCGAAAGCAUGGGUAGCGAACAGGAUUAGAUACCCUGGUAGUCCAUGCCGUAAACGGUGGGCGCUAGGUGUAGGGGUCUUCCACGACUUCUGUGCCGUAGCUAACGCAUUAAGCGCCCCGCCUGGGGAGUACGGCCGCAAGGCUAAAACUCAAAUGAAUUGACGGGG